GCUCCAGUCGGUUCCAAAUUAAUGUUUUAUCCCCAAGCUCUUUCCUGCUCCUUCAUGGGUCUCAGGUCUCCUGGAAAUCCAGGAACAGCAAUUAGCCCACUGCUAUUUAGGGCCUUUGUAAACAUUGAAGGAUGAUUCGGAGCUUAGGCUUUCUCUCCCGUGCAGGAAUCAGUCAGAUGAAGCCUGCUGCACGCGUCCCUGUCUAGAUCUUGAUCCAAGUGAUUAUAUGCAUUUGGCUCUCCGUGGAUGCAUCUGGUGGCCUGGGCUAGGCCAGUGUCCACUCUGGCCUACAUCCUCUGCUCAGGACUGCAGGUCGGCCAUUUGCUGGUCCCCGGUUCUUUC
This 342-nucleotide long non-coding RNA is filed under the name Pan troglodytes (chimpanzee). Its description in RNAcentral is "lincRNA". The record is from RNAcentral. Lineage: Eukaryota; Metazoa; Chordata; Mammalia; Primates; Hominidae.